This 440-nucleotide ribosomal RNA is filed under the name uncultured bacterium. RNAcentral's name for it is "partial 16S ribosomal RNA". It matches the Rfam family "Bacterial small subunit ribosomal RNA", at positions 338 to 795 of the family's 1533-position model. The record is from RNAcentral.
CCUACGGGAGGCAGCAGUGGGGAAUAUUGCGCAAUGGGGGGAACCCUGACGCAGCAAAGCCGCGUGCGGGACGAAGGCCCUCGGGUUGGACACCGCUUUCAGCAGGGAAGAUCCAAGACGGUACCUGCAGAAGAAGCUCCGGCUAACUACGUGCCAGCAGCCGCGGUAAUACGUAGGGGGCGAGCGUUAUCCGGACUCAUUGGGCGUAAAGCGCGCGAAAGCGGCCGCCCAAGCGGUACCUCUAACCCCGGGGCCCAACCCCGGGCCGGGUCCCGGACUGGGCGGCUCGAGUGCAGGAGAGGAGAGCGGAAUUCCUGGUGUAGCGGUGUAAUGCGCAGAUAUCGGGAAGAACCCCGAUGGCGAAGGCAGCUCUCUGGGCCGUCACUGACGCUGAGGCGCGAAAGCUGGGGGAGCGAACAGGAUUAGAUACCCGUGUAGUC